This 598-nucleotide ribosomal RNA is filed under the name uncultured bacterium. RNAcentral describes it as "bacterial SSU rRNA". It matches the Rfam family "Bacterial small subunit ribosomal RNA", at positions 331 to 929 of the family's 1533-position model. The record is from RNAcentral.
CCAGACUCCUACGGGAGGCAGCAGUGAGGAAUAUUGGUCAAUGGGCGAGAGCCUGAACCAGCCAAGUAGCGUGCAGGAUGACGGCCCUAUGGGUUGUAAACUGCUUUUUAAGGUGAAUAAAGAGGGGCACGCGUGCCCUGUUGCAUGUAGCCUUGGAAUAAGGACCGGCUAAUUCCGUGCCAGCAGCCGCGGUAAUACGGAAGGUCCGGGUGUUAUCCGGAUUUAUUGGGUUUAAAGGGAGCGUAGGCCGCAGGUUAAGUGUGUUGUGAAAAGCAGUCGCCCAACGUCUGCCUUGCAGCGCAAACUGUCCUGCUUGAGUGCGCACAACGCAGGCGGAAUUCGUCGUGUAGCGGUGAAAUGCUUAGAUAUGACGAAGAACUCCGAUUGCGAAGGCAGCUUACGGGAGCACAACUGACGCUGAAGCUCGAAGGUGCGGGUAUCAAACAGGAUUAGAUACCCUGGUAGUCCGCACAGUAAACGCUGGAUGCCCGCUGUUGGUUCAUUAGAGUCAGCGGCCAAGCGAAAGCAUUAAGCAUCCCACCUGGGGAGUACGCCGGCAACGGUGAAACUCAAAGGAAUUGACGGGGGCCCGCACAAG